AAGUGAAUCUUUCAAAAAGGAAACUGAAUAUUUAUUAAAUAUUACGUUUUUAUUGUUUAGAUUACGAUCUGAGGAUGGUUAGAAUACGUAUUCUAAUAUUCUCAGAUGAAAAAAAAAAUUGAAAACGAAAAUCUAGAGGGUGAAAUCGUUUUUUAGCCCUAAUCGUCAAAGUCUUCUUCUUUCACCUCUUCCUUUUAAGUCCACGUUGAAAGGUUAGACUAAUUUGGUAGAUUUGUCGUUGUUUUUCCCCGUUCUGUGCCACGUUUUGUCAUUUGGUAUAUACUCAUAUGCUGAUGAUGUGUAUACAACUGCCACUUGGAGAUCAUUAUAUGAGGAAACUAUUAAUCCAAUAGGUGUUCCUGAAGAUGAAUGGCGCGUCCCAGAGGUUGUUGAAUCUGCAAAAGUUUUACCACCUGAAACAAGAAGACAACCUGGUAGACGAAGAAAACGAAGAUAUAAAUCAGCUGAAGACAAGAUAAAAGCAUCACAAGAGUCACAAUUAUCAAAAAAGCAUAAGUGCGGUCGUUGUGGUAAAGAAGGCCAUAAUCGAGUAACAUGUGAUGUAGCAAUAUAAGGAUUAUGUUGCAACUGCUCUCAUUGAACGUUUCUAGUUACCACUAUAUGGAUUUUGAACUUCUUUCUCAUUUCAUGAUUAUUUUCGCAUUUUUUA
This is a long non-coding RNA of Arabidopsis lyrata subsp. lyrata, 670 nucleotides long. RefSeq lists it as uncharacterized. The record is from RefSeq and is a predicted model, not a curated record. The transcript is spliced from 2 exons. Lineage: Eukaryota; Viridiplantae; Streptophyta; Magnoliopsida; Brassicales; Brassicaceae.